This 408-nucleotide long non-coding RNA is filed under the name Pan paniscus (pygmy chimpanzee). RNAcentral's name for it is "lncRNA (ENSPPAG00000044882.1)". The record is from RNAcentral. Lineage: Eukaryota; Metazoa; Chordata; Mammalia; Primates; Hominidae.
GUAAAAUAAACCAGGAGAUGGAGAAGAUGUGAACAGUACAAAUGGAAAUUGAAAGGAACUCUCAAACUCAAAACAUACCUUUUGAAGCUAUCAGUGGUGGCAGAAUACGAUUAACAAAGAAACAAAGGUGAUGGGAUGGUGGAGGGCUCAAUGACACUACAGAAGACACUGGAACUGCCAGGAAGAAAACAUAAUCAGCAAACGACCCAGUCUUUGCUUUAAUAUCAUCAGUUGCUACAGAUCAUGAUCAACUGUGAUGCAGAUUAUUCAUAUAAGAAGAGAAGUUAUUUAUUGGAGGAAAAAAAAACUGUUUUGCUACUGUUUGGAAGGCAGAUGGAAAUGUUGGGAGUAUCAAUGCCAGCAAAUCUCACAUGUGUUACAUCAACGAACUUGAAAAGUAGUGGAUAA